CCAACGGCCCUCUUUAGGGCCACAUAUUCUAUCGAAUACCAAUUAU
Molecule: non-coding RNA, 46 nt
Organism: Ancylostoma ceylanicum
Lineage: Eukaryota; Metazoa; Nematoda; Chromadorea; Rhabditida; Ancylostomatidae
Source: Rfam